UACGGAGGGUGCAAGCGUUAUCCGGAUUCACUGGGUUUAAAGGGUGUGUAGGCGGGCAUUUAAGUCAGUGGUGAAAUCUCCGAGCUCAACUCGGAAACUGCCAUUGAUACUAUUUGUCUUGAAUAUCGUUGAGGUUGGCGGAAUAUAUCAUGUAGCGGUGAAAUGCUUAGAUAUGAUAUAGAACACCGAUUGCGAAGGCAGCUAACUAAGCGAUGAUUGACGCUGAGGCACGAAAGCGUGGGGAUCAAAC
RNAcentral lists this ribosomal RNA (250 nucleotides) under uncultured bacterium. Its description in RNAcentral is "partial 16S ribosomal RNA". It matches the Rfam family "Bacterial small subunit ribosomal RNA", at positions 524 to 773 of the family's 1533-position model. The record is from RNAcentral.